Molecule: ribosomal RNA, 492 nt
Filed under: Triticum aestivum (bread wheat)
Lineage: Eukaryota; Viridiplantae; Streptophyta; Magnoliopsida; Poales; Poaceae
Description: partial small subunit ribosomal RNA
Source: RNAcentral
AUGCAAGAGCUAGGUUUGACAGAGGAGGACCUAGAUGACGUGGUCUUCGACGAGAAGGAUGCACCACCAGAGGCUGCACGCUGGGUUGCUCUGGCUAGGGUUAAUACUCCCAAAACCUAUAGUCAGACGUGGUUUUAUCGGAACAUGAGAUCGGCAUGGGACUUGGCGCAGGAGGUGAAGUUCAGAACGCUGGAAGACAAUCUAUACACAAUACAAUUCUCGUGCCUCGGAGACUGGGAGAGAGUUAUGAAUGAUGACCCAUGGCACUUCCGUGGAGAUGCGGUUAUCAUCAAACCCUAUGACGGAGUGACCAAGCCCUCGACCAGCAAGAUGGAUAAGGUUGAGAUAUGGGCGCAAAUACACGAAGUUCCAGAUCUGUAUGCUCAUCUAGUCCCAUCCCUUGCUGCUAAGGUGGGGAAGUUCUGUUUGCCGAACCCCCAUCCCAAGAUGUUGCGGGAAAUUUCUACCGUGUCUGGGUCAGAAUCGAUGUAA